Long non-coding RNA from Octopus sinensis (East Asian common octopus), 1198 nucleotides. RefSeq lists it as uncharacterized. The record is from RefSeq and is a predicted model, not a curated record. The transcript is spliced from 5 exons. NCBI's taxonomy places the organism in Eukaryota, Metazoa, Mollusca, Cephalopoda, Octopoda, Octopodidae.
CCUUCCUUGAUAUGAUCACAGUACAACAGGAUUUGAGCAACUCCCUAAACAGGAUCUGAAUUUCAUUCAUCAUUGGAAAUUUGAGGCGAGUGAUUCACUAGACCAGAUCUAAAUUGAAGCAUCUAUACACUGUAUUCAUACCCGCAAAAACAAAAACGUUUUAGAAAAUUAUCUUCACAGAUCAUGGACAUUCUAAAGUUCUUUGUUUGUAUGCACUGUGUUGUUUGGCAAGCGCAGGAAUUUAUGAUAUUAUCCAAAGUGAAAAUAUUAAACUGAACGGAAAAGCCAAUCUCAGUAUUACAGUACCGAAUAUGCGAAGACCAGUGGUUUGGCAGUGCCAGAAUUAUAAAUAUGAAUGCGACAGGACAUGCGCUAACGGCACUAAUUACCAGGUUAGCCACAGUGGGAAUACUUCUAUGCUCUUAAUCAGAAAAGUAACAAAGGACUGUUUGACUUGGGCGUUUGCAGACGACAAUAUCAACCUUGGAAGAACCAAAUUGACGAUAAACAGUGAUACACCUGAGGCAUCCGAUGAUAUCCAAAUGAAAUCGUUUGCAGGUGGUGCACAAGGAACCAGCAGCCUCAGAACCAAGUCCAUCCUUGUCAUUGGGAUGAUAACAGCCGUCAUCAUUUAUACAUUUUAAGAAAUACCAGUAAUAAUCUCAAGUGCUGGAAGGACACUCCUUUGAUAUUUAAUCCAGUGCUAUGUGGGUAGGAAGCAAGCAUUUUACCACAACCAUGCCUGCCACCUAUAAUUUAAUAAAUAAGAAAUUUUAUAAAUUUGAUUUUGAUGUACACCAGCCUUGUUAUAAACUUUUACUGUUUAAAUUACUGCCACUCGAUUUAUGCUGUCAGCGUCAUCGUCGAAUCAACAUCCAGUUUUCUAAAACCCCUGCUCUGACUUACAUAUGUCUAACUCAGAAAAGCAGGGGAAAAUAUUGGUCAGAAUCUCUGUGGAUGAUGAUGAUGAUGUUGAUGAUUUCUAUUAAAAUUCACUGCAUUUCUGUCAAUUUCAAAAUUAACGAAGAAUUUAAUUAAAAAGCCUUUCCCAUAAUUAAGUUCAGAUUUGGAAUAUAAAUUAAAAAGAACUUUGAAAUGGAAGGUUAUAAUUUUGAUAACUUCUAACUCUCUUGUAAUGAAAUUUCCGUUUUUCUCUUAAAAUAUAUUACCUAUAUUUCAAUAAAGAUUACGAAAAUAA